This is a non-coding RNA of Trichonephila clavipes, 85 nucleotides long. NCBI's taxonomy places the organism in Eukaryota, Metazoa, Arthropoda, Arachnida, Araneae, Nephilidae. The record is from the annotation of a GenBank genome assembly.
GUCAGGAUGGCCGAGCGAUCAAAGGCGCUGCGUUCAUGUCGAAGUCGACUCGGUUUUGGCGUGGGUUCGAGUCCCAUUUCUGAUA